This 253-nucleotide ribosomal RNA is filed under the name uncultured bacterium. RNAcentral describes it as "partial 16S ribosomal RNA". It matches the Rfam family "Bacterial small subunit ribosomal RNA", at positions 524 to 776 of the family's 1533-position model. The record is from RNAcentral.
UACGUAGGGGGCUAGCGUUGUCCGGAAUCAUUGGGCGUAGAGCGCGUGUAGGCGGCCCGGUAAGUCCGCUGUGAAAGUCGGGGGCUCAACCCUCGGAAGCCGGUGGAUACUGUCGGGCUCGAGUACGGAAGAGGCGAGUGGAAUUCCUGGUGUAGCGGUGAAAUGCGCAGAUAUCAGGAGGAACACCAAUUGCGAAGGCAGCUCGCUGGGACGUAACUGACGCUGAGACGCGAAAGCGUGGGGAGCAAACAGG